CAAAACACGUCAGCAGCCAGGCCUGAAGGACGCAUGGUGCAUGCAGGGUGCAGCACGAAGGGAAGGAGUGCAUGAGGCGCCAGGAGGCCCAGGCAGAACGGCAGCUCAAUCAAUUCAGCAACCUGUGCAUGUUUGGAACAAGCUUCUGCAGGUGCAAUGCACUGAUGGGAAAGAUGCCACUGCAAACCUGACUGCCCAGAUAUCACACCUGUGUUAAGGCAUGCAUUGCUCUCACAUACAGACCCUGGAAACCAUGCCCCUGUCUGGUAGGUUUCUGACUGUAUAGGCCAAAAUAAC
This 297-nucleotide long non-coding RNA is filed under the name Gallus gallus (chicken). RNAcentral's name for it is "long non-coding RNA NONGGAT003294". Lineage: Eukaryota; Metazoa; Chordata; Aves; Galliformes; Phasianidae. The record is from RNAcentral.